GGGGGAAAGUAUGUGGAGGGGAGGUGGAUCUGCUGUGUGGACACACCUCUUCCUGCAGGGCGGGGCCAAGUGAGACAGGUAUGAUGCUACAGGAAGUCAGCAGAGGAACGGCCACGCCGUCUCCUCAGCACAGCAACGGGGCCGCUGUCGCCAACGGCAACGACAGAUCCUGCUGACCCUGCAUCUAACUGUGAGGAGGACUCAGUGUCCCACCAGUCAUGUACGCUGAGCCCAGCCAGCCUGACCCACACACCUAGCCCAGGGGUCAAUCACAUCACUGACAAGACACAGGGACUAUUUGGGCCAUCUCCAGAAAGGAGAGCAGGCUACGAAUGUGAAGGAACUCAUCCAAAAUAUCACAGGCAAUCCAGAACAAGGAUACAGAGGACUUCCAACCAAAAAUGUUUUAUCAGAGUCUAUUUCUAUCCCUUCAACCAAUGAGCAGUGACUGGGGGAAGCCACGAGUCACUUUGUUCUCAAACACUGAUACCUGGAAAGAAUUAUCACGGGAUGGACAGAGAGACAGAAAGACUAAAACUCUCUUCCCAGCUUGGUAGUGGACUCUAACCACUGCUGUUAGUCGUAUGAACCUGAGGUUAAGCUUCCAAUGUAGCAGAUACUUUGCCCCCAAUCAAUGGAAUAUGAUACCACAACCUGACAAGGAGACUAGACGCUUAGCAAUUAUUUAAUUUAUAUCAAAAUAAUCAGUCUUCUGAGAGAAAAAUAAAAAAAACAUUCUUUGACAGUGUUUCAUCUUUAUGAGGAAUUGUAUGAUUGUGCAGCUACUGUAUAUGUGUCCUCUAUGAUGUUGUUAUACAUGUAUGUGUGUGUACAUAUACUAGACUAAAACAUGUCUUGGAAUCCAAUAUUUGUCAUUUCUAACCAGAGUGCCAUCUCUGUUUUUGUAAGGUUGUGAAGGUAUGCCCCCUACAUCCAGGGAUGGUACUGAAUGGCGGGGGUGGAGUGGUGCAGUAAAUGGUAUUUACCACAGUAGUCAAGGAUUCUAAUAAUAGUAUAGCAUUUAUUUGCUUCAUGAGCUCUCUCAUGGAAGCCUAUUCAGAACCUUGUACAAAAAGGAUGAAAAAUAAAAGUAAAGUUCUUGAAAAAAAAGGAACAUAAAUUAACAGAGGUUUUUAGUUUGUAAAGAAAUGUGGCAUAUUGCUGGUCUGCACACAUCAACAGCCAGUCGCUUAGGCCCAACCUGCCGGUGUGCUGGUACUAAUGGUUUCUCACAACUGAUGGCUUAUACGAUUGUGGCUAGAUGGAAGUGACUUUGCGCAGCAGGUUAUGAGAACUAACGCAGCAGGUUAGGAAAAUUAAAAUAGCAGGUUAGGAGAAAAGCUCAAAUGCUACAGUUGUCCCCGACGCGUCAACUCGAUGUACUCCAUCUACAGACAACCAUAAAAGCCAUCAGUUCCAAGAAACCAUCCGUGGCCUACCGCCACACCGGUCUGCACACAUUAACCUCCUGUCGCUUACAGAAGCAGCAUUGAGCUGGCACUGAAAUACCUUUAAGAAAUACACUGUUUAAGAAUUAGCGGGUAUGCUAGUAGGCUAGUGCUAACCUCAUAGCUAGGUCUACAGAGACAGCUAUACAGUAAGGAUAAUUUUACAUAGCAAACAUCUACCCAAAAUAAAAUAGACCAUUCUUAAUUAGAAUAAACUAAGUUAUAUUGAAAAUUCAACCCAGUCUGUAGAAAUAUACAAUAUUUGAAACUAAAAUCAAUGUCAGGCCUACAAAACUCAAGGACAGAAACUGGGCGCUCAAUCAACCUUAAUGACUGUCCCAAGGAGGAGACUUGUGAGUGAGAUGUGUCUACAAACGUUCUGAUGAGGCAGAAACGGUCUUGGAAUCUGAUAUUUGUCAUCUCAUUUCUAACCACAGCAGGCUACAAUCAGUGUUCUCCAUUUCCACAAUCCAUCCGUCGAGUCGACAAAGCACAUGAAUCAUGUCUAAAGAAUGCCUACUGAUAUAGAGGUACGUGAGGGGAAUGGGCAGAUACGAGUGACUGUUCUCAACUACAAUAUGGAGGUCAGUUUGGGUCUUAGGGCUUUAUUCAAUCAGAUCCGCUUUAGCCAACAUCCGCAUAGCCGUUGUUUAGGUGUGUCAAAGGUGGAACUGCUUUAGAGCUGUCAAAUCCACAAGUGGCUCCCGGCAUUACACCUAAAGUGAACAUUGCCAAUGUUCAUGGAGUUGCAUUAACAGAAAUCCCAUGCAGCCUGGUUUACAAGUUUCAACACCGGAACUUGAGUUGUAAGGUAGGAUUUCAUUAGGAUUUGAGUAAGAGAUGGAUUGAAGCCUGGAUUCAAACCAGGGACCACUGCGCCACUCAGAAGUCUUAAAGAGGAGGGUAUAGUGCUUUUACAUCUAGUCCAGGGGAGGGUCAUGUCAUUUGAAAUUGAUGAAAUGUUAAUAUGUCUCAGUGUUUUAGAAGGAGUUGCUGAUAAAGCUAUAUAUCGAUGUGUGUUUCUUGCCCAUGAUGUAGGAUUAUUUAUCAGCGUUAUUGACCUCACAAUA
Oncorhynchus tshawytscha (Chinook salmon) is the source of this 2518-nucleotide long non-coding RNA. RefSeq lists it as uncharacterized. NCBI's taxonomy places the organism in Eukaryota, Metazoa, Chordata, Actinopteri, Salmoniformes, Salmonidae. The transcript has 3 exons. The record is from RefSeq and is a predicted model, not a curated record.